Long non-coding RNA from Manacus vitellinus (golden-collared manakin), 674 nucleotides. RefSeq lists it as uncharacterized. Lineage: Eukaryota; Metazoa; Chordata; Aves; Passeriformes; Pipridae. The transcript has 4 exons. The record is from RefSeq and is a predicted model, not a curated record.
UGCACAACCCUUUGCCCGUCUGCUGAAGGUGCCGAAGGUCCAUCCGAUCAGAGGUCAAGCUAAAGGAGCCCGAGAUAGCCAGUCUGAGGCAGUACAUCAACACAAGCCUCCAUGUCUGGGUUGUCUUGCAGCGGCCGUCUGUCCACUUCACAGGGCGAUCUUGGGAGCAGCUGAAGAGAGAGGAGCCUUCUAGGUAUCCCGGAAGGUGACAGCCACAGUGUUGGACUCCGGUCAGGGCCUCGGUGAUGUUGACUUCGAGUACUCUCAUGACAACAGGAACCUCUGAGCCAGCCCAGGUGCCCCUCCUGUGCAUUGAAGAUGGAUUCACAGCCCCGGGUCUCGGAAAGAUAAGUGCAGGGCAAAGACCCAGAGAGGGGUUGGGAGUCGGGGCAAGUAUGUGCAUUGCCCGGAGGGAUUUUUGCAAUUAGUAUGGUGCAAUGGGUGUCCUGUAGCAGGUUAUUUAGAGACCUCAAAGGAAGGGCUUACUUUGUAUCAUUGGAUUCCCGUGUGCAGGGCAGAGCAGUUCCGGUCUGUGUCACGUCCUUUGUCUCCUCCAUGUUUGUGUCCUUCGUCUCUUAAUUGUGUCACAUGGUGUGUGUCAUCACAGGUAUGGGGUGUCUCACUUGGGGUCAGCCUGGAACUGCUCUGCCCUGCUACGUGGAUCAGUGGGUAGA